Molecule: long non-coding RNA, 14341 nt
Organism: Heterocephalus glaber (naked mole-rat)
Lineage: Eukaryota; Metazoa; Chordata; Mammalia; Rodentia; Bathyergidae
Source: Ensembl
AGCAGUCUUGGCAGCUGAUACUGUGACUCAGACUAGGAUGAGGUAGUUGAGAUGGAGUGCUCUGAACAAUCACAUACAAGUCAUUUGUCCAUGGCCUCCUCUUCUGUAACUAUUUAUAUUUUCAGAAUCUUUUCAAAGGUCUUUUGGGUAAUAAUGGCAAUCCACUUUUCCCAUCAAAUACCAGCACACUUUCUGCCAAUACUAUUAUUUCUUCCAUUUUGAUAAUUAGAUUUAAAACAAUUCUCUUAAUAGAUUUAAAAUAAUGACACUGAGUAGAAUUGUUCAGAAGUGUUUUGAAACAUAUAUUUUGCCAUUAAGAUGUCUGAGGUCUUACUAAGAACUUUCAAUGUAUGCUUAUUUAAUUAUCUUUGGAAGUAUGCAAUUCAGUGAGAAAUGUUUUCUGGGCCAUAUACUCAACUUCACUUCUCUGCUCCAUUAGUCUUCAUUAAAUCACCUCAAAGUUUCCUAUUAUUUCCUUACCAAAGACUAACAUUUUUAACAAAAGACAUUUACAAACUGUGUUUUCUUUUGUUCUGGUUUUUUGCACAGGAUAUGGUAGAAUUCUAUUCAUGUCAACAUGAAAUUUGUAUCUGUCCCUGCCAGGAAGAUAUUUGCAAUACACAUGAUCACAGAGAUGCAAGUGUAGUGACCAUUUCAAGCAUAAGUAAAAUACCACCAAGUCAUAUCAUCCAUGGAUUUUUUUUUCAUCCAUGGAUUUUAUGGUGAAUUCAGUCCAAGAGGCCUGCAUUAGCUCUUACUCGAUUUUUUAAUUAAUUCAAUUUUUAAGGAUCAAAUAAGAUUUGUUACACUUACUAACUCAUAUUACAGUUGUUUUUAAGAAGAAAUUUAAAGUUUAUUAGACCUACUUAAAUUGGAACAGGUCUCAAAUUUGAUUUUUAAGUUUGACUUGUCAAGCAAAAACCUGUUAAACCAAAAUACCUGCCAGAUACUGUCUUAUUUUUAUCAGAUGAAAACAAUACUUUGAGUAAUCAAAAUCAGAAAUAAUAUCAUUUAUCUGAUAUAACAUAAAUUAUGAAGUAACAACCAAUGGUAAGUUGGGAUAAAAAAUGGAAAAUAGGUUAAAGGUAAGCCAUAUGUGGAGAAUUUGUCCUUUAUAUCUACUUUUAAAUUUCUUCAAGUAAAAAUCAACUGACUUUCCCCCUGACUUCUAUGUUUGAAAAUCAGGAAUAGACUAUAUUUUUCAAAAUGUAAAAAAGAUGACUACUGUACAAUUAUAUGACAGAAAUAUAAACAGAAUAUAAAUGUGGGGUUUUUUCAUGCUGUGCCACUUAUUUUGAGAAAGAUUAUUACAUGUAUAAGCAUCUCAGCUUUAAAAUGUGCUCUCAUGUAUACAUUUAUAUGUCACUCUGAUCCCAAUGUAUAAAAAAAGGAUGACUACUACUUAUUUAAUAUCAAUAUUUUAAGAAAAUCAAGGCAAAAAUGUCCCGAUCUCCAUUGCUUCAAGUAGUGUGGAGAAUUCAUUACAUUCAAAACCAGGCUAAAUAGUUACAGAUAUACAAAGUAUCUGGCAUUUGUAAGUGGCUUCACUGAUUCCUCCUGCUCUUCAGAACCCUAUUUUCUGUAUUUUGUACACUGUGAAAUUAUUCUGUUUUCUAUUACCUGUAGCACAGGUGUAAUUCUGAUGAUCUGAUCCAGAGAAUCACUACUGAAACCACUGGCCCAGUCAAUGGAAGAACCAGGUCCUUUUCAUGGAAAAAACAAGAGAAAAAAUAAAUAGAAAUAGAAAAAACAAUACUAAAAUUUAUGUUGAACUACAAAUGACCUUGAAUACUUAGGCAAAUUUUGAGCAAAACAACAAAGCUGGAAAUGUCAUACUUGACCUUAAAAUCUUUUACAAAGCUAUGGUAAUCAAAAAAACCAAACAAACAUGGAACUAGCAUAAAAACAGUCACAUCAACCAAUGGUGCAGGAUAGAAAACUCAAAAAUUAACACUCAUUUAGAGUCAAUUAAUUUUCAGCUAGAGUGCAAAGAACACACAAUCAAGAAGAAUGAGUAUCCUCAGUCAGCACUAUGAGGGAAAACAGGGUAGCCACAAGCUGAGGAAAGAAAUUGGACCCUGUCUCACACCAUAUACAAAAAUCAACUCAAAAUGGCUUUAAAAUUUAAACAUGAAACUACUAGAAGAAAACAUAAGAUAGAUACACUUCAACAUAGGUCUAGGCAGAGGUUUCUUAGAUAAAUCCUCAGAAGCACAGAGACCACAUGUAAAAAUGAACAAAUGGGGUUGUAUCAAACUAAAAAGCAUCUACAUGGCAAAGGAAAUAUGGAAUGAAAGGACAUGGAUGCAAAGAAAAUAUUUGCAAGUCAUACAUCUGAUGAGAGCUAAUGUCCAAAACAUAUAAGGAACUCAAACAAUUCAGUAGCCCAAAACAACUAACCCAGUGAAAAACUGGCCAAAGACCUAAACAGACAUUUUUCAAAACAAGACAAAUAUCCAACAGAUGCAAGAAAAAAUUCUUAUCAUCAGUAAUUAUUGGGGAAAUGGAAAUUAAAACCACAUUGAGGUCUAUCAGUUCAUACCUGGUAGAAGGUCUACCAUUAAAGACAAAAGAUAGCAAGUGUUGGAAAGAUGUAAAAAGAAUACUUGUGCACUGUUGGAAAUGUUAACAAUACAGCCAUUAUGGAAAAUAGUAUGGAGGUUCCUCAGAACAUUGUAAAGUCAACCCUACUUCCAGGUAUUGAAAACAAUAUUCCAAAUAAAUACAUGCAUUUCCAUAAACACUGAAGCAUUAUUUAGAUACAUCCUUACAUAGCUGAGAUAUGGACACAACCUAGGUGUCUGUAUCAGUCAGUGUUUACUAGAGAAUCAGAUAUAACACAAGAUAUACAUACAUGAAUUUAUAAGAUUGGCUUAUAAUGGCCACCCACAGAGUCAGAUGUCUGUCUGACUGCACACUGGAGACUGAAGGAUUUAAAGGUUUGGAGCUCACUAAAGUGUCCCAUAUGAGUUGGUAUAAGGAGGCUGAUUGGUCUGUGGUGUAGGGCUGAAGAGUGCAUGGGAAGCUGAAGAGCCAGGAGAGGGAACAAAGGAGAUGUUGAAGGUGAAGACUGGAGCUCCUCCAAAGAAACAGAACCAGAUCCAUCCUUCUUCAUUUCCCCUUUAUACAAUCCAGCUGACAAGCUACCCUAGGGUGAGUCUUCCACACUCUAGGGUGUGGAAUUGCUGAGCCAAUUUAGUUGGGCUUCUCUUUCUCAAAUUGACAAACUCAACCAUCACAGUGUCUAUCAUCAGAUGAGUGAGUAAAGAACACAUAUAGUAUUUAUAGUCAAUAGAGUAUUGUUUAGCUUUAAAAGGGGGAAAUUCUGUCUUUUGCAAGAAAAUGGAUGAACCCAGAGGACAGAAUGCUAAGUAAAAUAAGGCAGGCACAGAAAGAAAAAUGUCUCAUGAUCUCAUUUAUAUGAGGAAUCUAAACAAGUUGAACUCAGAAGUAGAUGGUAGAGGCAGGAAAGGUGGUACAUGCCUGUAAUCCCAGAACUGGGGAGGGAGAGGCAGAAGGAUUAUCAGAUUACCAUGAAUUGAAGGCCAGCCUGGGCUAUAUAGUGAGCUCGAGGCCAGUGUGAACUACACCAAGAGACCUUGUCUCAAAAAACCAAACUAAACAAAGAAGUAGAGGGUAGAGUAGUGCUUACCAGAGGCUGGAGAAGGAGUGGAUAAUAAACACUCAUGAAAGCAUAUAAAGGUUCACUUAGACAAGAGCAAUUAAUUUAGUGAUCUACUGCACAGAAUGGUUACUAUGUGGUUAUGCUUUGUAUAUUUCAAAGCAGCUAAAAAGUAAAUUUUCAAUGUUCUCACCACGCAAAAGAAAUGUAAGUAUGUGAGGUGAUGGAUUUGUUAGUCUGAUUUAAUCAUCCCACAGUAUAAACAUCACAGAUGCCCCAUAAAUACAUGUAAUUACUGUCAAUUAAAAAUAAAAAUUUCAAAAAUUAUUACUUAAAAUUCUAAAUAAUAAAAGUACCACUUUGUAUCACUUGAGUUGAGGAGACUAGGGGAAAAUUCAUUUUCUUGCCUUUUCCUACUUCUAAAGACUGACCAAAUUUUUUGCCUUAUUGUCCUUUCCACCAGUGGAAUAAAACAUUGAGAUAGCAAGGGAAAGACAGAGAGAGAGAACUUGUUUUAUAUAACCUCAUGCUCAUAUACUGACUAAAAACUUGAUUAUUAAAAUUGAACAAUAUAAGCCAUAUGGCUUAUGCUAGUAAAUGUAGAUCUACAUUUGAAAUAACUGUAGUGUUUUGUACAUAGUUAUACAAUAGUUUAAUCAGUUUCUUAUGGGUGGGCAUUAAGAUCAUUAAAUUUCUUGUACCUUAUUGAAUUUAAUUGUUAAUAUUUUGUUGAGAAUUCUUAUUAUCUUUGUUCAUGGAAAAUAUUGGUCUGUGAAUUUCUUUAUUUUCUUGUAUUAUCUCAUUGUGUUAUUAGGGUAACUCUGGACAUACAGAAUGAAUUUGGAAAUAUUUUCUCUGCUUUUAUCUUCAUAAAAAGAUAGUAGAGAAUUUUUAUAAUUUCUUCCUUAAAUGUUUAGUAGAAUUUUUCAGUGAAUCUUGUCUAGGCUGGUGCUUCCUGUUUUGGAAGUUUACUAAUUUUUUAUUCAAUUUCUUUUAUAAAGAUAGACCUACUGAGAUUAUCUAUUUCUUUUUGCAUGAAGUUUUUUCUUCUUGCAGGCUGUUUUCAAAGAAUUAGUCCAUUUCAUCUAGUUUAUCAAAAUUUUAAAUAUAGAGUCAUACAUAACAUUCUUUUAUUAUCCUUUUAAUGUCCGUUGGAGUUGAGUGAUGUCCCCUCUUUCAUUUCUGAUAUUAAUAAUUAGUAUCCUUUUUCUUCUUGUGUGCUAGACUUGCUAGAAGCUUAUUAAUUUUAUUGAUCCUUUCAAAUAACCAAGUGUUGGUUUCACUGAUUUUCUGAAUUAAUUUCUUAUUUUCAAUGUCAUUCAUUUCUGCUCCACUAAUUUCUAUUAUUUCUUUUCUUCUGCUUACUUUGUAUUUAUUUUUUUUCCUAGUUUCCUAAAAUGGAAACUUAGAUUAUUAUUCUUAAAUUUUUCUUUUCUAACAUACACAUUCAUCAUUAUAAAUUUCCCUCUAAGCACCACUUUUACUGGAUCUCACAUAUUUUUGUGUAGUUAAAAGUAUUUUUUAAUUUGGUUUCAGAUUUUUUUUUGACCCGUUCUCCUUAUUCUUUUCAUUACAAUAGACCUGACUGGAUCAUUCCCAAUAAUCUUUCUAUUUUAACUUCAACGGAUUAGCAGCCAUGGUUUCAUCUUCAAACUUAAUUUUCCUUUGACACAUAAUCUAACAUAUUUACAAAGUGUGGCUAUUAGGACAUGGGUGCAUUUAAGGUAUAAGGAGGCACUAUUCUGCCUACCACAAUGGCUCAUGUAAGAGCUAGCCGAGUGAUUUGACCCAAAUAACUCACACAAGGAUGGAAAAAAGGCUUUUGUUUAAUGAAUGAAUUGUUAAUCCCUUAAAUUAUAAAUCACAGUUCUGGGAGAAAUCAGGAGCACACUCAGUGCAGAUGGUUCCUCCCAGAAGGUAUUUCAGUGGCCCAUAUUUUGGACGCUCAGGGUCCUCUCAGCUGCUGCUGUAUCUCUUAGGCCUACUGCACCUUGGGACAGAUAAGAGCUCCAAGACUCUGAGUCUCAUUCCCUUGGGAAAUGUGACUUCAUGAUAAUAAUUUUAAUUAAUGAAAAAAUCAAUAUGUAGACAUCUGUCACUUAUUGGUGUCUGUCACUUUUAGGAUGUUAUUUCAUCUAAGACUAAGUAAAAUAGUUUGUUGUGAAGAUUAAUGAGAAAAAAAAUAAUGUGUAAGACCCUUGGCAAAAUAUGAGGCAAUUAAGAAACUAUGCACUAAGUUCAGCUAUUUAAUUUUAAUUUUAAUGUUUCAGUAUAUUUUGCAGUACACGACGAUUACAUCCAUUUUGAGGAAUUGGUACAUGUGUAUGACACAUCUUAAUUCUCUCUUGUCAUUUCCUUCCCCUCCCUCUCCUCUCCCUCCAUCUCUUGGUCACCUUGCCUUUUGCAAAAGAACAAAAAGGUUUUGUUAGUAAUAGCAGUAAUAAUAGAAGUAGCAGUGUAAUGGUGAAAAUGUUAAUGGCUCACAAAGUUUUAUACAAUAGCCUGUAAGAUGACUCCUGAAGAGGAGCACAGUGGCCUAGCUCAUGGAUUUCAGUCUACUUUGUAAGAUGUAGUGGGGUUUCUAGCCUGUCUCUAGAAGAUAUGGCAGCUGGAGUGUUGAUGCAGACAGAACAAUUUUUGUUAAAACCUAUUUUGUAUGUGAUUUUUGGCAUUCACUGAAAUAAAACAGUACUAGGUGCCCUGAGAGUUGUAAUAUAAAUGUUAUUUAUGUUUUGCCUUCAUGAAGAGAAGUAGAAUCAUCUGGAAAUGGCCCUUGAGGGAAAGCGACUUGAUCAAACAUCUGAUAGUCACAAAUUUGAAAACGUGCUUCAGAAUCCCAGCACAUAGUAAAAGACAAUACUAAUAAUUAUACCUGUCAAGAAGCUGUGAACACAUGGUGUAUAAAUUCUUUACCAAGGCAACUCGACACCUCCUUUCUCUGGUCCCGUACCCCCCUGCUCAUGCGCUCUUUACACACACCGACUUUCCAUCCACUGCAGUGGGAAUUUCCAGUGUGGAAAGGGAGAGACUUUCCAGUCCACAGCCUGAAACAGGAUAAGAAGAAAAGUCUGACUUUUGAAUAAAUCACCGCCGGGGUCAGGAUUAGGUCAAUCUUUGGUGUCUGGAUUUUCCAGAGAAUAACAACCCUCUCCUUGUGCUGUAGUUCAAACUGCAUCAGUUCAAGGUUGCUGCUCCUAUACAUUGCCCCUCCUCUAACCUGUUCCACAACCCCCAUUGCUGAGUUAUCUGAAUUGGAAUUCCAAUUAACUGAAAAUUCAGCAUCUAAUCUCCUUUUGAAAAUGGCAAUUUACUAUUAUGUACUCUUUUCAGGCUCUAGGAAUUGGGUUCUUAUUUUCUGUUCUCAUGAAUUUUAAUGCAUUAACUGAAUGGUAAAUUUUCAGCUCAACUUUUAGUUUAUUAGAAGCAAGAGUAGGAACCUAGUACUGUACUUUUUAAUUUAAAUAUUGCUUGCAUCUAUUAUUAUACAGCCUAACAGAAUAUAAUGUAUAUUUAUUCCACAAAAUAUAUAUUAUCAGAGUACAUUUGUGAUAACUUAGAGUCUUUCCUUACCAAGAAUUAUGGCUCUGGUAAGAGAAUACUAGCAAAGGACCUACCUUCAUGAACUGAUCAUAUAUAUACAUACAUAUAUAUGUGUGUGUAUGUAUGUGUAUAUAAUCUCAAUUUUUCUUAAGUUUUAUAUUUUUUGAUUGAUACACUCUGGAGAAAUCUAAACUUCUGUAUACAUUGGUAUUCUGUCAUAGAUGUCUAUUUGACAUUUGAAAGCUUUGGUCUUAACAGCUCUCUCUCUCUCUAUAUAUAUGUUUAUGUAUGUAUAUAUAAUUUCUUUCAAAAAUAGACAUAUGUAAGCCAGUGAUAUCAAUUUUGUGACUGACAAAUGCUUUCCUCUAGAAGGAAAAGAUACUUCAUUUCACAUAUUCCUGUAGGUAAAUGGAGAAGGAAAUAUCUUUGGAAAGAUCUAUUAGAGUCACGUAUGCAAAUCAUAAUUUUUUACCUACAGUAAAUCUAGGCACUUAAUCUGGUUUUAAUUUAUGGAAUUACUAGGAAGUAAUAAUAAGGGGGCACUUGAACAACUUAAGCACAAAAAUGUACCUAAGAGAAGAAUAAUUGCCCAGCUGAAAUUAUCUAGAUAGAUCAUUAAGCAGAGGCACAUAUUUCAAUAUUCUCUUUUCUCAGAUACAAACAUUGAUUUCCCAAUGUAGAAUAAUUUUAAUACUUCAGAUAGUCUCCCCCUAAAUAGAAAUUUAUGAAACCAAGUUUAGAGACCAUCUUUUUGAAAAUAUAACAAGACCAACAGAAUUACUCAGCACAUUUUAUUUUACCGUUAUGGUGUUAUUGUCAAUACCCAGUUUUCACUCUUCAUAGUGCAUCACUUACCAGGCAACAAACAGCAAGGAGACUGGGGAGUAUGACAGUGUCUUGCUGUGAUAAGAGGUUUCCAGCCUCGAGAACAUAAUCAUAUUUUACUAGAGAGAGGUGGGGAUAUGGGUGGGGCAGUGAGGACCCUGAAUGUUAUGUAAAAUAAGUUUACAAAAAAGACAAGCAUGACAUAGGGCAUAAAUGGAGACAAUAUGAGUGUUAUGCAGUUUGAAAGAUAGUUCUCAUUUUUAUAAGAAAAAUUUAAUAAAACAUAUAUUUUAGUUAUCGUUUAUCAAAGAAGUAUUAGAGGUAUUCAAGCAGUACCACAAGAUUCUCAUAAAAGGAAAUCAUAGCACCCUUAAAAUAAGAUAAUAGUUCUCUCAACACAUUUCAAUACAUUGUAUUAAUUUGGAGCUUAAGGUAAGUAUGUUAUUGUUUAGCUGUUAAAUGUUCAGAUAAUAUGAACUUUUAUAGUUUCACAUCAAUAUCAUCAUGACAUUACAGAAGCAACUAUCAAAUGAGCAGAUCCCUUAAAUUUCAGUUUUCUAGAAGUUUUGUAUUUUUAUGCUUCUUUUGCAUAAUGUUCAGUGCUGAUAAAUGUCUGCCAGGUUGUUUGUCAAACCAAAGGACCAAUCCAUCAUAUCUAUGGAAUCUAAGAUUACAGUAUAUGUCACAUUGGUCUUACAAACAAAGACUAAAACUGAAUUUGUUAAAAUGUAAACCUUCCCCUGAAUUUUUAAUGAAAAGUAAUCAUCCCUAGACUUACAGAGGCCAUUUGUGGUUCUCUUAGUUUCACGGAAAUCAAAGGGAAUGAAAAAAAUUACUAUAAUCUGUACUCGAGCUCUUUAUUACUAAUGAUCACAUUACAGCCACUAACAUACCCUAAGUCAUACUCUUUCUUAAAAAAGACUACUCUCCUUUGAAGCUCAAUCCUCAAUAUAAUAAACAAAUUAGGUAUUAAAAAUUAGAGGGAAGAUUUGUUGUGACUUCUCAAGGAUCCUGGUGAAUUUUAGUUCCUUCCCUUGAUCAAGCUGGUGACCAGUGGAACAGAUUUGUUUAAACCUUUCUCUGCUAUGAUUUUAAAAGCAGAUACACAAACCAUAGUUCUGUAAAACAGUUCCCGAAUCUUUUCAUUGUUGCAUUUACAUUUUGAUUCUGUUGCCAUAUGGACUAGAACAUCCACAGGGAGAUAAUGAGUUUAAAUUGCAAUUGACUUUGGAAAGAAUAACAGACUUUUGUGCUUCCUCAAUCAUGUAAUCAAUCGGGAAUUCUCUAGUUAUAUGAACUACCCCUAUCUUUUAAGACAAUGCUAAAAUCUAAAUGCAAAAUCUAACAUUCGGGGGCCUUUUAAGGAUUUGAAGCUUCUGUGAACUUUGCUAGAGAAGGAUUAUACCAAUUUACAAAUGCAGUUUUCAACUGUAAUCUUAUCUCAUUUCAGUUUAUUCAGCUGUACAUAUAGCACUCGAAGACAUAGGAUAUUUUGUCUACAUUACUUUAAACAUCUGUAGAUGUUUAACAUUUGUGGAUGUGUGAAUAAUGCCUGAAUUUCUCAUCUUUCAGAUAGCUGUCCUUACACAUAGGCUUUAAGUAAGACCAACAUUAGACAACAUUGUAAAGUAGCGAUCAACAUUCUGAAGAUUCAAAGAGGCCAGUACAGAGUAAGGUAUUCCAAAACAGGAGAUGGCCCUACUGCUCUUGUCCCUCUCUAGACCACAAGCUCUAUGAGACAAAAGGGGCUGUGACCACCAUGUUGAUUACUUGGCACAAUAUAGAUACUCAAGGAAUAUUUGUUAAAUGAAUGAUUAAAGAGGUGGAUAAAGAAAUGAGUACAUUUGCCUUCUGAUAAUUUCAUUACCUUCUUAGUGUAUCAAUUGGCACUAUAAUUUCUAAAUAUCAUUAGAAUAAGAAUUGACUCUUCAUACUUUUUAGAUAUGUGAAUUUGGAAUCAAAUUACUUCAAAGGCUUUAAGGGCAUUUAAAUAAGGAACAGUGUUCAUGAAUUCAGAUUUUGAUGAUGAAUAAAAUUAAACCUAUUUCUUUAUGAAAGCACUUUGAAUUAUUUGGCAGGGAUUAUCCAAAAAGGAAACUCCAUUUCUAAAUUUUAUAAAACAUUAUGUUUAGAUUUUAAAAAGGAAGAAGAAAAAGAAAGAAGAGUCCCAUCAUCCAGCAUUAUGAUUUGUGUCCGAUUAAAUAUUUAUUAACAACGUUUCUCUAAAAAAUUCUGAGUCAUUGUAGUCACCAUUCCUAAACUUUCUUCUUUUAAGGAUUACUCUUUUCGUAUUUGAUUCUUAGAAUUUACCUGAGCUAAAAAAAAUCCACAUAUUCAUUCAACAAAUAUUUCUUGUGUACCUGAUACAUGUUAGGUUCUGGAAAUGCAGUGAGAAAGAAGAGUGACAUAGUGCUAUCAUGGAGCUUAUCAUGAGAGAACUCCACUCUGAACUCUAGCCAUAGCUAGUUUACUGUCCACUGAGUCCCUGCUAGAAGAGAAAAAUUCUUCACCCCAUGGAAAUUAUGAAAAACUCCUUUUUCUAAACAUACCACUCAAAACUGAUGCUUAUUUUAUCCAUAAAGCACAAUUAUAAUCCAAUGAGGUUGGUAUAUAAUAAUUUGUUCAUGACAUGUAUCUAGCUUUUACUAUGUUGUAGCUACUAUGCUCAGUGUUUUCAUGGACGAUCUCAUCAAAUCUCAUCUAAAACCCUAUGCAGUAGGUUCCAUUCUACACACAAGAAAACUGAAACACAGCUAUGUUAUGUGACUUGUCCAAGGUCACACUGCUAGCAGGUGGAAAUGCAGUCUGACAUGAGAGCUCAUAUGCAUAAUUGUUGUCUCUGGCUUUGGAGGACAGUACUCCAUGAGACUGAAUAAGUCAUUAAAAUAAAUGAGUUAUUGUACAUAAAAAUACUUUGAAAUUAUAAAGUAGCAUGCAAAUGAUAUUAGAAAACUAUUACUCGUAUCACAUCAGUGACAAAAACAGAACUCAAUCUUAUUUUACAGCUUAUUCAUGAAGAAUACUUAAGUGAGGAACAUGGGAAAAAGGAAAGAUCCAGAAAAUUUCUGACAUGUAGUAAAUAUUUCAGUGAUUUUUCAGAAUGAUUUAUUGUUAGUCACUGUGUCUAUUUGGUGCUACAAAAACAAAGAAACAAAAUCCCUGCUCUAAGGGCUUAUAAUAAAUACACAGUGUGGAGAUGAACCAAGGCUGUUUCACACUUCCGUGGAAGUACUGGGCAGUUUGUUGUACCAUUUUUUCAUCAUUGCAUGUACAUCAUGUCUUUCCAGUUGUUUUCAUUAUUUUUCUGAAAGAGCUACAAAAUUGUGCAGUGGUUCAACCUGACCAAAGUGGUAUUAUGCUGCUGGGAAGUAAAAGUAUUAGACACCAGAUUGGAAAUAUUGUUUUUAUUAUCAAUAUACAGAGGAAUUUUUAGAUGCUGUAGCCCCUAUCUGGAUGCUAAGUUUCUUGUGUUUCUCCAUUCCAGACCACACAGUGAGAUCAUUCUCUCUAUGGGAAGGUUCUGAAAAAGAAAAAAAGAAAUUCUUGUCUACUUUCCACUUUCACAUUUGAAACACUUCUGUGACCACACUGUGGGGAGAGGGAGAAAUUGUUAAAGUGGUUACCAAAGAGGAAUCUUAUAAAUCUUAGAAUUCAGUUCUGGCGUUACCUGCCUCAUGUCUUCAGUUUUUCCCAUAAAUUGCUGCUAGAUAUCUUCCUCUGAAGUUAUCCUUUUGCUCAGAAUCCUCCAAAGGGUUCCACAUGCCAAAAAACAAACAAGCAAGAAAAACCCUACAAAUUUUCAGAUUCCUGGUUAUUGCUGUGUUAGUUAUGAUGUCAGAGAGAGAGAAUGUUCUAGUGCUCUGCUAUCCCCAAGUGUGAAUAAUUACAGAACAUGAAAUGGGACAGAAUUGAAAUCCGGUACAUGGACUGUGAAGUCAAAGUUCCAUGACUCUGAAAAAAAUCACAGUUUUUUCUUUAACAUGAACUCAAAUGCAAAGAUAAAUUUAGUAGUGCUCUAUGGUGAAGACUAUAUCAGAUGGUGACCCACGAACUCUAUAGUAUUUGCUUGGAAAGUAGUGUGUGUGUGUGUGUGUGUGUGUGUGUGUGUGUGUGUGUGUGAGAGAGAGAGAGGGAGAAGACAGUAUGUAGAAAUGGGCUAACACAGUGACAUUAAGGAGUGGUGUGGCAUGAAGUUUUUCUCUACCUUAUGACAUUGUUUUGCUGCCUUACUUUACCUUACAGACCAUUGUCCACCACUAUUCCUGAAACCUGUCCCAAACUUUCCUUCCUCCAACUUUUUUUUUUUUUUUUUUUUUUGUACUGGGGAUCGAACUCGGGUCCUUGAGCUUGUGAGGCAGGUGGCGGAACCACUGAGCUAAAUCCCUGGCCCACCAACUUUUUGAUUAUUCUUGAAAUGCCUCUUUCCUUCCUCCAGAAAAACAAAAAAAACAAAAACUUCAACCCUUAAGGCCCAUUUCUAAUUAUCCUAAACUUAUCACUAUCUGUGUCAUCAAACCUCUUUAUGAUGUAUGUAUCCCUUUUUAGCUCUUUCUUAGCUUCUCUUAUGGUAGAGAUGUUUGUGAAUUUAUCAUCUUAAUUUCCUCUGCAGUUUGUCAUUUCCUAUGUGGUUGGUUAAAAUUUCUUCAAAGGAGUCACUUUUCACUUGUCAACUUCACAGAAUAGCUACUAGAUUAUUCUGCAUUUAUUUAAAUUCUCUAUAUUUCACCUACAAAUAUCAUUUGAAUUGAGAAUUCAGCUCCAAACACUUUUUAAAAAGAAAAGAGCUUUAAUUACAGUGGACCCUUGACUUAGGAACACAAUUUGUUCAUGAGGAGUGGUUGUAACUCAAUUGAAGGCUCAGGCUCCUCCACAGAGCCUUCAAAAUCUCUCCUGUGUACAGGCAGAUCUCAGUGUCCUUAGAGAAACCUUGGCCAGGGAUUUCUCAACCCCACACAGGAAAGGAUGUAAUGUUCCUUUCAGAACUCUUUAAGGGUUACAUCUGUAUCUGAGACCAACUGGAAGCACAAGUGACCAGCAUUCAGGCUGUAACUGAAGACAUUGGUAGUAAGUUAAAACUAAAAUUUCAGUCAUAACCCAAGUUGUUUGUAUGUCAGGCCAGUUGUAACUUGAGGGUCCACUGUAUUGAACGUUUAAUUAAAAGCUAAAUCUGGUAAUAUUUAUGUCUUAUUCACUAGGUUUUUCUGACCUGAUUUUUAUACCGUGAAUGAAUACAGAGGUUGGUGUACAUAUUUUAGAUGACCAUUACCAUCCCUCCCCACAUAUACAAUGACUGCUACAGAUAGAUAUUUGGUUCCUUAUUCCAUGGGAGAAAUUCUAUAGGGUAGAAGUGGGUUUCAAAUCAGCAACUGAAGAAGUAGGAUGGGCAUCACAAAAUCACUUCCCUUUAGACUUGAGUUCUCUAUUAAUAGUCUUAACUAUUGCUGCUGUGCAUCAAAAAAAAAAAAGAUCAAUUUACCAAUUUACUCUUCUUUAGUCUUCCUUUGCUCGCAAAUUUAUUCAACAGACUUAGGGAAUUGUGAGACUAAUUACUAUUGUCAUAACUGCUACAGCUUAUACAGGAAGAUAAAAGUCAGUAAUAAAGGUCAAAAUAUUUAUUCAAUCUUAGUCCACACUGUUUUCUGUUGUGCUGUUAUCACCGUUUAUAUCUGGAUAUCCCUCCCCCAAAGCCUUUUGUGAGCAAAGGUGGGACUUUGGGCGGGGGAAGGUGAUUGGGUAAUGGAAGCUUGUAGCUGGCUUGCUGUCAGGUGGUGGGGUCUGGCCAGAAGAGAUGGGUCACUGAGGACAGGGUUUAGAAGGGUUCAUCUCCCUCCCCACCUCCUUUCUUAGUGCUCUGCUUCCUAGCCAGUAUGCUGUAAACAGCUCUUCUUCACCACGCUCCUCCGCCUUACCAUCUUACCUUGCAGCCAGCCAAACAUGCAAGGGCUGAAACUUCUGAAAUGUGAGCCAAAAUAAACCUCCUUUAAGUUGUAGGUGUUGGGUAUUGUGGCCGAGCAACAAGGAAGGCAGUUACCAACACAAAGUUUUUUGUUUUUAACCUUUGUAUGCUGCUAUACUUUGGAUCUCAAAUGUCCCCUGAAGUUUCUUGUGGUAAAGACUUGUUUGCCAACAUGGCACUAUUGGAAGGUGAUGAGGUCUAGUGAGAGGUUUUCAGGUGGUCAGGACAAUGCCCUUAAGGAAGAUAGUGCAACCCCAGCCCCUUGCUCUCCCUAUCAUUCACUCCCUCGCCAUGAGUGGUCUUGCUCCACCAGACACCCUGCCAUGAUUUGCUGCUUCACAAGAAGCCCAAAGCAGCAUAGCCAACCAAUCAUGACUGAAACCUCCAAAGUUGUGAGC